Molecule: ribosomal RNA, 455 nt
Filed under: Pseudomonas fluorescens
Lineage: Bacteria; Pseudomonadati; Pseudomonadota; Gammaproteobacteria; Pseudomonadales; Pseudomonadaceae
Description: bacterial SSU rRNA
Rfam family: Bacterial small subunit ribosomal RNA
Source: RNAcentral
UGCAGUCGAGCGGUAGAGAGAAGCUUGCUUCUCUUGAGAGCGGCGGACGGGUGAGUGAACGUAGGAAUCUGCCUGGUAGUGGGGGAUAACGUCCGGAAACGGACGCUAAUACCGCAUACGUCCUACGGGAGAAAGCAGGGGACCUUCGGGCCUUGCGCUAUCAGAUGAGCCUAGGUCGGAUUAGCUAGUUGGUGAGGUAAUGGCUCACCAAGGCGACGAUCCGUAACUGGUCUGAGAGGAUGAUCAGUCACACUGGAACUGAGACACGGUCCAGACUCCUACGGGAGGCAGCAGUGGGGAAUAUUGGACAAUGGGCGAAAGCCUGAUCCAGCCAUGCCGCGUGUGUGAAGAAGGUCUUCGGAUUGUAAAGCACUUUAAGUUGGGAGGAAGGGCAGUAAGCUAAUACCUUGCUGUUUUGACGUUACCGACAGAAUAAGCACCGGCUAACUCUGUUG